Molecule: ribosomal RNA, 906 nt
Filed under: Triticum aestivum (bread wheat)
Lineage: Eukaryota; Viridiplantae; Streptophyta; Magnoliopsida; Poales; Poaceae
Description: partial small subunit ribosomal RNA
Source: RNAcentral
AUGUCAGAGGGCGGAGGCUGCAACCACCCCGUUGGCCGUGCCGCACCGCGCAGCUCCGGUGAACCCAACAGACGCGCCGCCAACGCCGGUUCCAAUGAGCACCAGCGCCGUUGGGGUGGACCUAACGGAGGUUCGGGCGCCGUCACAGCAUCCGCUGGGCCCCGUGGCUCCCGUGCUCCUGCUGCUUCUGAAAAUGGGGCCCCCAUCCUAUGCGGCCCUGACAACACCAUGCAGCUCGCCAUCCUCCAAGAGGCAGAAGACCAGGAGGACCUGCAAGCUGAGCUGACCAGUGGCCGCGAAGACCUGCUGCCCGAUCUUAUUCGGAGCGCGGCUCCCUCCCUUUUGCUUCCUCGACAGGCAGCAGUUUCCUCUCCCAUGAUUCCUGCCGCGACAGGAGACCCGCCGCCUUCUGGCUCCUGCAUGCCUGCAUGGUCUCCGCACGCGGCCGUGGACCUGUCGCCGCUCGCCAAUCACAACUUGGCCACUGCCCGUGCGAGAUCGAUGCUGGUGGACCCAGAAAGAAAUGACUCGCCUGUACCUAUGGUGAGCCUCGGAGUGCAGCCGACCGCUCAAGACCCCAUGAGGCCGGCUUUGCGGGGCCUCCGCUCGGCACUAACUGAUGGGACGCCUCUUCUGGACCUCAUCUUCUUCGGGCCUGCAGCCCGUUCACCUUCUCCGGAGGAGCUGCAGCUUCAGUCCUUUAUCCGCUUCUUCACCGCGCAGCCGCCCACCCCCGUGCUCUCCUCGCUGCCGCCCAACCCUACUCCACCCCUGCCUCGCCUCCCCAGUGACACGACAGGCGGAGCAGCGGCGCAGCGUUCGCCUUGCCACGAAGCCUACCUAUGGCAUGAGCUGCCUCAACAAAGCACAAAUUGCGCUCCUGAAGAAGAAUGGGUUGCUACCUGA